This 539-nucleotide ribosomal RNA is filed under the name Ulocladium sp. S3. RNAcentral's name for it is "eukaryotic LSU rRNA". The stretch from base 167 to 320 matches the Rfam family "5.8S ribosomal RNA". Lineage: Eukaryota; Fungi; Ascomycota; Dothideomycetes; Pleosporales; Pleosporaceae. The record is from RNAcentral.
GGCAUCAACAUGAGCGGGCUGGCAUCCUUCGGGGUUACAGCCUUGCUGAAUUAUUCACCCGUGUCUUUUGCGUACUUCUUGUUUCCUUGGUGGGUUCGCCCACCAUAGGACAAACCAUAAACCUUUUGUAAUUGCAAUCAGCGUCAGUAAAAAAAUUAAUAAUUACAACUUUUAACAACGGAUCUCUUGGUUCUGGCAUCGAUGAAGAACGCAGCGAAAUGCGAUAAGUAGUGUGAAUUGCAGAAUUCAGUGAAUCAUCGAAUCUUUGAACGCACAUUGCGCCCUUUGGUAUUCCAAAGGGCAUGCCUGUUCGAGCGUCAUUUGUACCCUCAAGCUUUGCUUGGUGUUGGGCGUCUUGUCUCCAGUUCGCUGGAGACUCGCCUUAAAGUAAUUGGCAGCCGGCCUACUGGUUUCGGAGCGCAGCACAAGUCGCGCUCUCUUCCAGCCAAGGUCAGCAUCCACAAAGCCUUUUUUCAACUUUUGACCUCGGAUCAGGUAGGGAUACCCGCUGAACUUAAGCAUAUCAAUAGGGCGGAGGA